Molecule: long non-coding RNA, 692 nt
Organism: Papaver somniferum (opium poppy)
Lineage: Eukaryota; Viridiplantae; Streptophyta; Magnoliopsida; Ranunculales; Papaveraceae
Exons: 4
Source: RefSeq, a predicted model, not a curated record
CCGAAACACAACUCAAAAACUGAAGAAUUACAGAUUAAAUCUUCAGAAAUCAAACACCAUAAAAAACCAGUAGAUUAAGACUAUUCCAUGAUCUAAAAGAUCAAAUCUGACUGAAACACACGAAAACUAAAAAAAUAGGUUUCAGAAAUCAAUUUGUUGUGGAUCUUCAACAACAACAUAUUGAAAAGAUCAAAUCGAAGGAAACAACAAGAUCAACUGCUUCUUGGUGUUAAGAAAGCAGUAAAGGAUGCAUUUUUAAGUUCGAGAAACAAUCGAAUGAAUAGAAGAAGGAGUUCGAUAGAAGAAGUAAGGAGUUGGCAAUACUAGCAGAAUCAAGAGGGCCUUCAGGUUAUGAAAGAAGUGGAAGACGACCUGAUCACGAUAGAUAGUUCCCAUUUCUAUUUCUAGAAGCAACUUUUUCAAGUUGUCCCCUUACAUAGAUGCAACUGGCAUAUCUAUCCCCAUACAAUAGAUAGUUCCAAUUUCUAUUUCUACAAUCCUUAAGCCAGAUAUAAGUGAGGCAGAAGGAAUGAACCCUGGUGGAUGUGUUAAGAUUAAGUGUUUCCUUUGACAUAGUAGGAGUCACCUGCUGUUAUUUCCAAUGUAUGGUACUACUACUCAUGUUGAUUUAGUUAUACCUAUUUUAUUGAUAAAUUCGUGAUGCUGGUCCUUGAACUCUAGUUGUUUAGUAA